This is a long non-coding RNA of Gastrolobium bilobum, 427 nucleotides long. RefSeq lists it as uncharacterized. The transcript is spliced from 3 exons. Lineage: Eukaryota; Viridiplantae; Streptophyta; Magnoliopsida; Fabales; Fabaceae. The record is from RefSeq and is a predicted model, not a curated record.
AGGUUGCCGUACGUUGAUUUGAACCUCGAAUCGUGAGUUCGGUGGAUUUCCCUUGGUCCCGGACCAAGUGGGCUUGAGGCAUUUCUGCUGUAUAAAGAGCUCGGAGAAUAUAUUACUGGGAGCUAAGUGAAGAGAACUAUACAGGAGGUAGCAGUGGUGCAGGAGCGGCGGGCAAGAAGCCCGUAGGAUGAUUGCCGGAGUAUCAUUAGUAUUUUGCAUUUUGAUGGCCAUUGGGCCUAGGCUAGACUUAGGGCAUGAACAUUAUAUAUAUGUUGUUAGGAUGAGAUUUAUGGUCAUAUUUGUUCAUGCUAUUUUUGCCUAAGUCUAGUUGUAUUUGGAUUAUGUCAUUUUGAGAUUUCUUUAUCAUGCAUUAUUUGGAGAUUAAAGUUGUAAUUGUAAUAUGUCAUGGGAAGUCUGGUAAAUUGUA